Molecule: long non-coding RNA, 272 nt
Organism: Cyprinodon tularosa
Lineage: Eukaryota; Metazoa; Chordata; Actinopteri; Cyprinodontiformes; Cyprinodontidae
Exons: 3
Source: RefSeq, a predicted model, not a curated record
AGGCGGGGGAUGACUUUAUUUAAGGUGGGAUUCAGAUGGUUUGGGAUCACUUCACAUCAGAAGAGCAAUAUCAGGAUUUGCAGAACCCUACAAGGAUUUAACAAGCAAGAGCUCCGAAGAUGUAUAACUCUACAAAGUACGCAUCAGGUGCGAGAGAUCCAAAACCCAAAAUUAAGGUACCUGCUAAAGGUGCAAGAGAUGCCCCCCGAGCAUCUAGCGCAGCUCACGGUGCAAAAGAUUCCAAGCCAAAGAAACCUGCCGCAGGUGCAAGA